AGACUUUUAACAUUACAUGAUUAUGUCAGUGGAAGAAUAAAAACUACUGGCUCAGCUUCUGCGACUCCCAUGAUUGAGUUGGCAUGCGAGGUUUCCUGUUAGCAUCCUUCUUCAUUGUUAGAUUUUCUGUCUUCUCAUGUCUUACUUGUUUGUCUGCUUUCUUAUUGAUUUUUGUGCUUCCAUAUUCCACGGUAUUUUUAAGAAUGGUCGGUGAGGUUAAAAUAUAACUGGAUCAUCUCUCCCCCUUUCCUCCCUAGUUUGCUCCUCUGUCUACUUCCCCUUGCCCUCUCUCAGUUUGUGACCUCUAUUUCUUUAAUUGUUGUUGCUAUGGUUGUUUUUAUAUGUGCACUUCUGAAUAUGUAAAUGCAGCCUGUAUAAUAUUAAUUGGGUGUGUGUAAGAUCUCAGCACUGAAUACAUGGUAUGAGAUAACCACUCAGGGAGCAGCUAGUCCCUAGGAAAGGCUGUUUUUCCUGAUCAUAGCAUUCCAUGGCUCUUUGCAAUUCUUUGUCUAUGGUUGAGACUCCAAGAUAUUAGAAAGAAUUAAAAGUGAACUCCCUGGCCUGGCCUCAGUGAGAGAAAAAGCACCUAACCCUCAAGAGACUUGAGGCCCCAGGGAGUGGGGAGAUCUAGUUGGGUAGGGGUGAGGUGGUGGGGCCAUCCUCUUGGAUACCAGGACCGGGGUCAGGGAGAUAAGGGAUGAGGCAGUCAGAGGGAGAACCAGUAAUGACUGGACUGUUAAAAAAUGAUUAAAAUAAAUAAACAAGCAAAUAAAUAAAUACAAUUAAAAUGUACUCAAAUGGGGAGGCCUUCAUAAAUCAAUAAAUUAAGACAUUGUUUACCAAUGGAAAAAAUAGAAUGGCAAGUGAAUACUUUCAGACAUUCAUUGUCUAACUAUCUAACACUUAUUUUUUGGUAUGUGUGACUAACAAGAACUCUGCUAGGUUGGCAAUUUCUUUCUUUCCAGAAUUCUGAGGACAUGGAUUUAUACUAUUUCUUCUUGCUAUUACUAAUAAGCAGAAAAUAAUGUUUUUGUUUCUGAUUUUACAUGCACCUUCCAAAAUCCUUUCGCAUAAUUCUGUAGAAUCUCUCUCUCUCUCUCUCUCUCUCUCUCUCUCUCUCUCUCUCUCUCUCCCUCUCUUUUCAAGUGCUAGUCAGGAUUUCAUAAUGAUGUACCUCAGUGUGGAAUUCCUUUUGGUCUUCAGUUGUGGAAAAUAGAUGGGUAUUUUAACUUAGAAUUCUUUUUUUUAUUAUUUAAUCAUUUAUUUAUUUAUCUAUUUAUAUAUUUAUCUAUUUAUCUGUUUAUUUAUUUUACACUUCAAAUUUUAUUCUCCUCCUGGUCAAGCCUCCAACUGUUUCACAUCCCAUACCUCCUCCCCGCCCUUGUCUCCGCAAGGAUGUUCCCACCCCUCACCCCCAACCCCCACCCCACAAGACCUCCAAACUCCCUGGAGCCUCCAGUGUCUUGAGGGUUAGAUGUAUCUUUUCUUAUUUAACUCAAAAAAUGGCAGUCCUCUGCUGUAUAUGUGUUGGGGGCCUCAUAUCAGCUCAUGUAUGCUGCCUGGUUGGUGGUCCAGUGAAUGAGAGAUCUCAGGAGGCUAGGUUAGUUGAGACUGCUAGUCCUCCUACAUGGUCACUCUCCUCCUCAGCUUCUUCCAGCUUUCCCCUAAUUCAACCAUAGGGGCCAGCAGCUUCUGUCCAUGGGUUGGGUGCAAAUAUCUGCAUCUGACUCUUUCAGCUGCUUGUUGGGUCUUUCGGGGGACAGUCAUGAUAGACCCCUUUUUAGUGAGCACAUCAUAGCUUCAGCAAUAGUGUAAGGCGUUGGAACCUCCCCAUGAGCUGGAUCCUACGUUGGGCCUGUCACUGGACCUUCUUUUCCCCAGGCUUCUCUCCAUUUCUGUCCUGGCAGAGGAACAAUUAUGGGUCAGCGUUUUGACUGUGGGAUGGCAACCCCCUCCCUCACUUGAUGCCCUGUCUUUCUGCUUGAUGUGGACUCUACAAGUUCCCUCUCCCCACUAUAGGGCAUUUCAUCUAAGAUUCCUCUCUUUGAGUCCUUGGAGUCUCUCACCUCUCAGGUCUCUGGUGCAUUCUGAAGGGUACCCCCAACGUCACAAGGUUGCCUAUUUCCAUUCUUUCUGCUGGCCCCGAGGGCUUCAGUCCUUUUCCCUUCACCCAAUACCAGAUUUGGUUCCCCUUUAGCUUAGAAUUUUAAGACUUCAAUUACUUAAAAUGUUCUUAAGCAAUAUCAUUGGUGAUUUUCGUUUUCUUGUUUUAUAUCUUUCUAUAAUUUUUAAAAUUUAUUCUGAUAUCAAAUAUUUUCCAUUAAUUUCCAGUUUUCCUGGGUGUUCUAGUUUUCUAUCACUUUAUUUUUUUCUAACCAAUAUUUAUCUUUUAUGGCAUUGCUCAUCAUCAGUAUAUUGAAAAUUCCCUUCAUCGUUCUUUAUUUUAAAAGUUGUGUAUUCUUCAGUCCCGGAUUUAGUAUUAUCCUUUGAUUAUUAAUGUUAUACUAAUUUCCUUUUCUUUUUCAUACAGUUUACACCCCACACCCAUUUUCUUUUUGCUAUCUUCCCUUUUUGAAGCUUUCAUACAGUAUUUGCUAAUUCAGGGUUCUUACUGUGUUUCAGAGUGAAGGGCCUAGAAAACUGACACAAUCUUUCCACAUGUCAAUGGAGCCUACUGAGUGAUUCACACCAUUGGAUCUCUCUCCCUAUCAUAGUCUUCCCCACCUAGGCUGGCCAGAUUUCCCAUGGAAACCUUAUUCACAUUUUCACCCAUGCUAUAAACUAACUGUAGCUUUCUACUAAACAGGCAAAGG
This 2813-nucleotide long non-coding RNA is filed under the name Mus musculus (house mouse). RNAcentral describes it as "long non-coding RNA chr12:36837384-36840197". Lineage: Eukaryota; Metazoa; Chordata; Mammalia; Rodentia; Muridae. The record is from RNAcentral.